Long non-coding RNA from Poecilia latipinna (sailfin molly), 105 nucleotides. RefSeq lists it as uncharacterized. The transcript has 3 exons. Lineage: Eukaryota; Metazoa; Chordata; Actinopteri; Cyprinodontiformes; Poeciliidae. The record is from RefSeq and is a predicted model, not a curated record.
CUACAAACACACGGCAAACGGCAGCAGCUCUCCUCAGAGUCCUGGUCUGCUCUCGGAGGUCAUCUCCUGUUGUUGUUGUUGUUGUUGGUCUUGUGCAGGUACCUG